RNAcentral lists this long non-coding RNA (6456 nucleotides) under Nicotiana tabacum (common tobacco). Its description in RNAcentral is "long non-coding RNA (NTAB_LNC004834)". The record is from RNAcentral. Lineage: Eukaryota; Viridiplantae; Streptophyta; Magnoliopsida; Solanales; Solanaceae.
UUAGAUACUCCGUUACACUAGGAGGCAGAACUCAAUCUCUUUUUUUUUUUCAAAACCCUAAACCCUUCCCUGCCGCUUCCUGUCUGUUACAUAUAACUCAGUUAUAUUACUACUCCAUCUUAUUCAUAUUAGAUGAGGUACUUUCCUUUUUAGUCUGUUCCAAAACAAAUGACACAUUUCUAAAUUUGAAAAUAAUUUUACUUUAGACUCUUCAUUUUACCCAUUUACCCUUAACGAGAAACUUUUAUAGUCACAUAAAUGUCAUGGCCCCACAAACAUUUUACCCCUUAAGCUUUUAAAAUCACAAAUUUCAAAAGUCUUCUUCUUUUUUCUUAAACUCCGUGCCGAGUCAAACUACCUCAUCAACUGAGGGAGUAGUAUAUUAGUUGCACUAAACCCUGGGGUUAUUUUACAAAAGAAAUCGUUCGCUUCAAGCACAAAAAUAGCAUAGGGCAGAUCUACCCAACAAAAUCACUAUCACUAUUCUCGCAAAAUUACCAGUGAGAUCUCUUUUAAGAUUCAAAAUUGUUUCACAACAAUGGAUUUCUUGGAUUUCACAUCCUGAAUCCGAGCUCUCAAAACAACGACAAGGAAGAGCAGGAGCAAUUUUGGAUAGCGGACACUCGUUUCACUUGAUAAAUCAACCCUCUGAAGAAGAAAAAGAUGAAUCCAAGAAGGUAAUAGUUGACGUCCAAACUCUUGAGAAUCCUUUAUUGGAAAGCCGUAUUUACAAGAAUAAGUAUUUAGAGCCAUGUCUAAGAUUGUUGGGUUCUGUUGUGGAACGGGAUAGUUCAGAAAAUGAAAUUGGGAAACUUGGUUACUGAUCGGAAAAGAGGCUAAUCGCAAAAUAGUUUAGUAUAUUAGCACUUAAGUCCCUUGAGUUUUAUUUGUUUAGAGUUUUAUCCUAGUAGUGUAGCUUUCAUCUUUAAAAGACAUGUGUCCAUUCUUAUCCCUUUGUAUCUGUUAGCAUAGUACCACCUCUUUUCAUUUCUCAUUGGUUGUCCAGGUGGUCACAACUGUAGGACCUUUACCUUAUUUAGCCCAGCAGCAUCCUUGUAAAAAUCCAUUGAAGAAUGAAAAAUCUUAUUUAAUAUUUUUACUUAAAUUCUGCAAAUUUUCCUUUUAUGUUCUUUCUUAGCUAAAUCACUACAAUUGGUAUCUAGAGCCAGGCUUUCCCAGUGACUUUCUGGUAAGUCAUGGUGGAGUCACACAAGGAUAAAGCUCCCGAUGAUGGUUGGAAAAAAAUUGAAAAUCAGCUCCAAGUAUAUAUUAAUGAAUCUCAAAAACGGAUGGAAAUGCUUGAACAGAAUCAAGCUUGUUUACAUGCAGAGGCCACAAAAAGACAAGUAGAGAACAAUCGUAGACUUGACACUUUGUUGGGCCGUCUAGAGAUAGAACAAAGAUCGGAAUCAAUGGCUUUAGGGAGAUCCGUUGCAGCUUUGUCCAUGGGUGAUUCAACAAUAGAAAGAGGAGAAGCUUCGGUAACUGGAAUGCACAGACCCUCUCUUUCACCAAUGAGACCAAAUUUUUCACAAACGGGAAGGAAUUUGUCUCUAGCUGCCGCUCCCUUCAAUCCUAUGGUUUCUGCUACGACACCCAUUACACAAUUUGGGCCUUCAACAUUUUAUAGUUCAGGACCUUCUUUGUACCCUCCAACACCACUUUCACUCACUCAACCACCAAGAACUACCAGUUUUUCAUCUAUACCAAUUUCUUUGGCUAACCCUGUUUUUAACACAAGUAUUCCAAUGAACAUCACUCAAGUUAACUCCUCCUCAACCCAAAUACCUGUCACCACUACCCUCCUACCACCUCUAGCUUAUCAGGCCAUUAUGAAUAGUUCAUUGGUGCAACCCAAUAGUCAACAUAAUUUACAGCCCACUACCCAAAUUUUCAGCCCUUUUAAAAGCCCAAAAGUUAAGCUAAGUUUUCCUAAUUUUGACUAUGACAACCCGCGAGGUUGGAUAAGACGAUGUGAGAAGCACUUUGAACUGUAUCAAAUUGAGGCUACUGAAAAAAUGAGUUAUGUGGCUUUCCAUGUCAAAGAAAAGAUCGAUAUGUGGUUUGAUGUGUAUAUGAUGGAACAUGGGGGGGGUUGUAACAUGGGAAACUUUUUGUUUGAAUGUUUGCCGAAGGUAUGGUAACAUUAGACCUUUGGACAUUGUGGUUGAAUUUAAUAGGCUACAACAACGGACAGAUGUUGAAGGCUAUUUUAACAAGUUUGAAGACCUACGUUUUUACUUGUUAUUAAUUAAUCCUACUUUUAAUGAAGCCUAUUUUGUGUAUUGUUUUAUUGGAGGAUUAAAACCUGAUUUGGAGUCUAUGGUAAGAGUAUCUAAUCCUCAGACAAUGAUAGAUGCUUUAGAAGUGGCCAAAUUACAUGAAAAGACCUUGACAGUCAUCUACAAAAAUAUUCAACCACCAAAGAUUUCCAUAACUCAGCCCAAAAUAACUUUUCCCCCAAUCCCCAAAGCAAUCAUUGGCCUAAGCCCAAAAAACUUACCACUCAUUGUAACCCGUAAUCCAGCAACUUCACAAAAUAACCCUUCCUUGGAAACAUUACGUGAAAAGAAGUUGUGUUACAAGUGUCACGACAAAUAUUUUCCUGGGCAUCAAUGCAAGGUGAAAGCCCUUAAUUCUAUAGAGAGUACUGAAGAAACAACAAUAUUUGAGGAAGGGGAAAGUUCUGGAGUUAUGGAGGAACAAAAAUUUGAAGUAAAUGAUGAAGAGGCUGUGGUAAAUGCAAUGGAGGAAUGCGAAGAAGAAGCUUGGAUUAACAUGUUGGAUGGCCCAGAUAGAGGCCCAAACACCAUUAAGAUUCCAGGAAUACUGCAAAAUGAACCCAUAAUUGUGUUGGUGGACUCGGAGGCAACACAUAGUUUCUUAGACCCCCAACUGGCAGAAAAAUUGAAACUAGUCAUGGAUCUAAUGGUUAGGCCCAUGAAGGUUAGGGUAGCCAAUGGAGGGAUUAUGUGGAGUAAGAUUUCUUGCCCUAACGUAAUCUGGCAAAUGCAAGGUGAAGUCUUCAAAUUUGAUUUGUGAUUAAUGAAGGUUGGAGGUUGUGAUAUGGUGUUAGGAAUGGAUUGGAUUGACAUGAUAGCACCCAUGGCUAUAAAUACUAAGCCUCAUAGUGUGUCUUUCAUGAAAGGUAGUCGAAUGGUGACAUUGGUUGGAUAUCCAGAUUCACAAUCCAUGGCUAAAAUGGAUUCAAGGUUAGUUUAUGGGAUGCUUAACAGAGCUGGUUGUAAUUGGGUGGCUCAAACAUGUUACUUGGAAUCAGUAGAACCAAAUGAAGAAUUGGUUCCAGCUCUUGUGAAAGACAUUUUGUCUAAGUUUACUGAUGUUUUUAAUGAGCCUACUGCAUUACCUCCGGCUCGAUCGUGUGACAAUGCCAUUGAGUUAGUUCCUGGUGCAAGGCCUAUUAAUUAGAGGCCCUACAGGUAUUCACAUGAGCAGAAAGACGCCAUUGAGAGAAUCAUCUAAGAAAUGUUGGAGGCAAAAACAGUAACUACCAGUACUUCUCCUUUUUGUUCACCUGUGAUUCUUCUCAAGAAGAAAGAUUCAACAUGGAGAUUAUGUGUAGAUUAUCGGAGGCUUAAUGACAUUACCAUUAAAAAAAGGUAUCUCAUUCCUGUAGUAGAUGAUUUACUUGAUGAGAUUAAUGGCGCUCAUUAUUUUUCUAAGUUGGAUCUACGUUCAGGUUACCAUCAGAUACGCAUGAACGCGGGUCAUGAACACAAGACGGCAUUCAAAACUCAUCAUGGGCUGUGGGAAUUUACCGUGAUACCGUUUGGGCUUAUAAAUGCGUUGGCGACCUUUCAAGCACUCAUGCACCAAAUUUUUGUGCCUCACUUAAGGAAGUUCGUCAUGGUUUUCUUUGAUGAUAUUUUGGUUUAUAGUGCGUUGUUCAAAGAGCACUUGGACCAUCUAAGAGAGGUUUUUGGACUGUUAGCUAAACAUUAGUUGUUUGCCAAAACGGUCUAAAUGCAGUUUUGCCCAAACUCGAGUGGAAGACUUGGGUCAUGUCAUCACAAAGGAUAGGGUCAGAACUGACAGUGCAAAAAUAGAGGCCAAGGUGAAUUGGCCUAAGCCCAAUUGCAUCAAAGGGUUGCGAGGUUUUUUGGGAUUAACGGGUUAUUACCACAAGUUCAUUCAGAACUAUGCAGUAAUCAGUAAACCAUUAACCAUGUUACUAAAGAAAGGGGUUUUUGUGUGGAAUGAGGGAACAACACAUGCGUUUGAGGCUUUGAAGUUAGCUAUGACCCAAGCACCAUUAUUAGCAUUACCCGACUUUAAGUUACCAUUUGUGGUUGAAGUAGAUGCUAGUGGUCUGGAAGUAGGAGUUGUUCUAUCUCAAAACAACAAGUCAAUUACUUUCAUGAGUUAGGCUUUGUGUCAAAAACACCUGGGAUUUUCAACAUAUGAGAAGGAAUUAAUUGCCCUUCUUUUAGCAGUUGAAAAAUGGAGACAUUACCUUCAACCCAGUCACUUUAUCAUCCGGACUGACCAUUUUAGUUUAAAAUUCCUCAAAGAUCAACGCAUCACUACAUCAUUACAACACAAAGGAGUGACAAAAUUGAUGGGCCUAAGCUAUAAAAUACACUACAGGCAAGGGAAAGAGAAUUUAGUAGCAGAUGCGUUGUCUCGAAGGAAGAGGAAACCAAAUGGGUUAACCAAGAAGCAAAAGCUUUGUGUUUGGGCCUAAGUGUGAUUCAACCCAAAUGGGUACAAGAAGUGAUAGAAAGAUAUGAAGGUGAUCAAGAGGCUCAAGAACUAAUCACAAAGCUCAGCUUAGACUCCAAGGCAGUACAAGAUGUGUCACUACAGUCAGGACUGCUAAGGUUCCAAGGAAAAUUAUGGGUAGGAAAACAGUUAGGCCUCAGGCAAAAUUGAUUCAUGAUAUGCAUUCAACCUCAUGGGGAGGGCACUCUGGAAUUCAUGCCACAUAUCAAAGACUUAAGGCACAUUUUUACUGGCCAAAGAUGAUUAAAGAUGUGAAAAUAAUGGUACAAGAAUGUGAAGUCUGCCAAAGGAACAAAGAUGAGAGUGUAGCCUACCUUGGAUUGCUACACCCUUUACCUAUUCUGGAAAGAGCUUGGGAACACAUUUCCAUGGAUUUCAUUGAGGAAUUACCUAAAUCACAAGGAAAUGAAGUCAUUCUAAUGGUGAUUGAUAGGUUGACAAAAUAUGCGCAUUUCAUUGCAUUAGCUCAUCUGUAUAAUGCUACUCAAGUUGCUCAAUUAUUCCUUGAUCAUGUAUGCAAAUUACAUGGAGUUCCGUCCUCAAUUAUUUCCGACAGAGACCCAAUUUUUGUGAGCCUAUUUUGGCAAGAACUUUUCAAAAACCUACAGGUUCAGUUGAAAUUGAGCUCGGCAUAUCAUCCCCAAACCGAUGGUCAGACAGAAAGGUUGAAUCGAUGUUUGGAGUCUUACCUCUGAUGCAUGACUGGGCAAAGGCCUAAGGAAUGGGGCAAAUGGUUAUCUCUUGCAGAAUUUUGGUACAACAUGAGUAAUUAGUCCGCAAUCAAUAUGACUCCUUUCAAGGCUCUAUACGGGUAUGAUCCACCUCAGCCAACCUUCGAGCUAAUUGCACAAUCCAAGGUUGAAUUCGUGGAUCAAUUGCUGAAAGAAAGACAGAUAAUAAGCAAACAGCUGAGGGAAAAUCUGAUUAAGGCUCAGGCACGAAUGAAGCAAUACGCAUAUAGCAAAAUAAGUGAGCGCACCUUUGAAGUAGGCGAUUUAGUCUUCAUCAAAUUACAGCCUUAUCGCCAAUCUUCAGUGAUUGUGAGAAAGAACCUAAAGUUGUCCUCCAAGUUUUUUGGUCCCUAUCCUAUUAUCAAAAAGAUUAGUUCUGUGGCGUAUGAGCUCCAAUUACCUGUCGAGUCUCGAAUCUACCCAAUUUUUCAUGUUUCUCAACUGAAGAAGAAAUUGGGUCCAAAAGAUUUUUCUAUAAAGGAACCACCUUUGAGCACACCUGAAGGUCAGUUAGUGGCAGAACCAGUGGCUAUAUUAACCGAAGAAUGGUGAAGAGGAACAAUCAAGCUGUUACGCAAAUCUUGGUGCAAUGGGCCAAUCUAGCUCCAGAGGAUGCAACUUGGGAGGAUUAUUCAUUUAUUAGUUCCCAAUUCCCCGAAUUUCAACUUUGAAGAUCAAGAUUCUCGAAGGAAGGUGGGAUGUUGUGGAACGGGAUAGUUCAGAAAAUGAAAUUGGGAAACUUGGUUACUGAUCAGAGAGGCUAAUUGCAAAAUAGUUUAGUAUAUUAGCACUUAAGUCCCUUGAGUUUUAUUUGUUUAGAGUUUUAUCCUAGUAGUGUAGCUUUCAUCUUUAAAAGACACGUGUCCAUUCUUAUCCCUUUGUAUCCGUUAGCAUAGUACCACCUCUGUUCAUUUCUCAUUGGUUGUCCAGGUGGUCACAGCUGUAGGACCCUUACCUUAUUUAGCCCAGCAGCAUCCUUGUA